GCCAGGCAUGGUGGCUCAUACCUGUAAUCCCAGUGGCUCAGGAGGCUGAGGCAGGAGGAUCACACGUUCAAAACCAGCCUCAGCAAUUUUGUAAGACCCUGUCUCAG
This 107-nucleotide small RNA is filed under the name Marmota monax (woodchuck). Lineage: Eukaryota; Metazoa; Chordata; Mammalia; Rodentia; Sciuridae. The record is from RNAcentral.